UGAGGAAUAUUGGACAAUGGGUGGAAGCCUGAUCCAGCCAUCCCGCGUGAAGGAUGACGGUUCUAUGGAUUGUAAACUUCUUUUGUACAGGGAUAAACCUGCCCUCGUGAGGGCAGCUGAAGGUACUGUACGAAUAAGCACCGGCUAACUCCGUGCCAGCAGCCGCGGUAAUACGGAGGGUGCGAGCGUUAUCCGGAUUUAUUGGGUUUAAAGGGUCCGUAGGCGGGCCUGUAAGCCAGUGGUGAAAUCUCAUAGCUUAACUAUGAAACUGCCAUUGAUACUGCAGGCCUUGAGUAAAUUUGAAGUAGCUGGAAUAAGUAGUGUAGCGGUGAAAUGCAUAGAUAUUACUUAGAACACCGAUUGCGAAGGCAGGUCACUAAGAUUUAACUGACGCUGAUGGACGAAAGCGUGGGGAGCGAACA
RNAcentral lists this ribosomal RNA (422 nucleotides) under uncultured bacterium. Its description in RNAcentral is "bacterial SSU rRNA". It matches the Rfam family "Bacterial small subunit ribosomal RNA", at positions 355 to 774 of the family's 1533-position model. The record is from RNAcentral.